Molecule: ribosomal RNA, 253 nt
Filed under: uncultured bacterium
Lineage: Bacteria
Description: partial 16S ribosomal RNA
Rfam family: Bacterial small subunit ribosomal RNA
Source: RNAcentral
UACGUAGGGCGCGAGCGUUGUCCGGAAUUAUUGGGCGUAAAGAGCUCGUAGGCGGUUUGUCGCGUCUGCUGUGAAAACCGGAGGCUCAACCUCCGGCCUGCAGUGGGUACGGGCAAACUAGAGUGCGGUAGGGGAGAUUGGAAUUCCUGGUGUAGCGGUGGAAUGCACAGAUAUCAGGAGGAACACCGAUGGCGAAGGCAGAUCUCUGGGCCGUAACUGACGCUGAGGAGCGAAAGCGUGGGGAGCGAACAGG